This 384-nucleotide long non-coding RNA is filed under the name Bos taurus (domestic cattle). RNAcentral's name for it is "long non-coding RNA NONBTAT016269". Lineage: Eukaryota; Metazoa; Chordata; Mammalia; Artiodactyla; Bovidae. The record is from RNAcentral.
UGUGCUGCCAAUACUGCACACCAUGGGAGCGUCUCAUUGGGAAUUAGCUUUGCUUUUAAUGUCACAUGACAUCACAUACAUCAGAUCCAGCAGAUUUAAUGACCAUCAGCUAUUUCCGAAAGUCAAACCUAUCCUGUAGGUGAGAGUGUUUGCACCAUAAGAAUAUUUAAAACAAUAUGUUGGGCCUUUAAAAGCAAAUCCCACACUGGGGUUAUUCCUUACGGACAAGAAGGGGACUUAAGACCCUCCUGUAAAAAAGAAUUCCUGAACACAGCAGGAGUCAGGACAUGAUGAGGGAAUACUUAUAUAAGUAAAAAUGCAUGAACGUGUAUAUCCAUACCCCCAUACAUUAGAGUGGUUGGCAUCACCCGUGUGUGUGUGUGU